Molecule: transfer RNA, 72 nt
Organism: Loxodonta africana (African savanna elephant)
Lineage: Eukaryota; Metazoa; Chordata; Mammalia; Proboscidea; Elephantidae
Rfam family: tRNA
About the family: Transfer RNA (tRNA) molecules are approximately 80 nucleotides in length. Their secondary structure includes four short double-helical elements and three loops (D, anti-codon, and T loops).
Source: Rfam
GCCCUGGUGGCUCAAUGGUUAAGCACUUGGCUGAUAACCGAAAGGUUGAUGGUUUGAACCCACCCAGCAGCU